RNAcentral lists this ribosomal RNA (584 nucleotides) under uncultured bacterium. RNAcentral describes it as "bacterial SSU rRNA". It matches the Rfam family "Bacterial small subunit ribosomal RNA", at positions 338 to 916 of the family's 1533-position model. The record is from RNAcentral.
CCUACGGGAGGCAGCAGUGGGGAAUUUUGGACAAUGGGCGCAAGCCUGAUCCAGCAAUGCCGCGUGAGUGAAGAAGGCCUUCGGUUGUAAAGCUCUUUUGUCAGGGAAGAAACGGUAGAGGCUGAUAUCCUUUGCUAAUGACGGUACCUGAAGAAUAAGCACCGGCUAACUACGUGCCAGCAGCCGCGGUAAUACGUAGGGUGCAAGCGUUAAUCGGAAUUACUGGGCGUAAAGCGUGCGCAGGCGGUUUUGUAAGUCUGUCGUGAAAGCCCCGGGCUCAACCUGGGAAUUGCGAUGGAGACUGCAAGGCUUGAAUCUGGCAGAGGGGGGUAGGAUUCCACGUGUAGCAGUGAAAUGCGUAGAGAUGUGGAGGAACACCGAUGGCGAAGGCAGCCCCCUGGGUCAAGAUUGACGCUCAUGCACGAAAGCGUGGGGAGCAAACAGGAUUAGAUACCCUGGUAGUCCACGCCCUAAACGAUGUCUACUAGUUGUCGGGUUUUAAUUAACUUGGUAACGCAGCUAACGCGUGAAGUAGACCGCCUGGGGAGUACGGUCACAAGAUUAAAACUCAAAGGAAUUGACGG